RNAcentral lists this long non-coding RNA (2330 nucleotides) under Mus musculus (house mouse). RNAcentral's name for it is "long non-coding RNA chr12:74164528-74166858". The record is from RNAcentral. Lineage: Eukaryota; Metazoa; Chordata; Mammalia; Rodentia; Muridae.
UCUCUCUCUUUUGGUUUUUCGGGACAGGGUUUCUCUGUAUAGCCUUGGCUGUCCUAGAACUCACUUUGUAGAUCAGGCUGGCCUCAAACUCAGAAAUCUGCCUGUCUCUGCCUCCCAAGUGCUGGGAUUAAAGGCGUAUGCCACCACUGCCUGGCUUGGUUAAUUUUCAUAACCACAAAAUAUGGACUCAAACAUUAAUUAAGCCAAACCUUUAAGUCAGACGACAGAGGCUAUGUUGUAGCUUCCUGUUUGUACCUGCUGUGGUGAGUGCCACCUUAGCUAUGACAGGGUAGGACUCAGCAGAAGGAGAACAAAUCUCUCUGAGGUAGAGCUGCUCUUAGUAUUGUUGCAGAACAUUGCCUACGCUCCACCACUGGAAAGACUCAGAGUUUAUGUGUUCUGAUCUUAGAAUACACUUUUUCUUUAUUCCCUAUUAGAAACAUGAUUUACACAAGAUGAAAUUUACCUUAGCCUAUCUACUACUAUUUUGUUACUAUUUAGAGUAUCUUGUAACCACUGCCUCAAGUAAGGUACAGAACAGUUUCAUUAUCUCAGAGAAUUCCUGGACUUCUUUCUGUAGGCAAUCCUCACAUCUACAGUCACAUCGCGGUGAACAUGAGUUGAUACAUUUUCUCUAUCACUAUAUGUGCACCCACAUAGUCCAUACACAUUAGUAGAUUAUUCAUAUCCAGACAAAGUCAUUAAUUCUCUUCUUGAUGGAGGGAGCCAACAUUUCUACAGUACCAUAUUGAUACCAUAGGAUACCAAGUAGAGUUUAUUGUAUGAAAAAAAUAUAUUUUCAUUAAAAGAAAAUAGAUUUCUCUUACUAUUACUGUUACCAUUAGUGUUUUUAGAAUGUCAUCUAAGAGAAAAGAUGUUUGUGUUCUUUCAAAUGUAGCUUCCAUCACUUACUGUAACAUGUUUGAGAUUUGCCCAUCUUAUUGGCCCUUUAUGCUGCUGAAAUCCUGUCCCAUUGGAAGCAUGCACUAGUUUGUUAAUUGGUUUGUCCAGUGAGGGAUAAUUCACUUGUCCCUAGUUAUAUUUCCUUUCAAGAAUCAAACUCAUUCACCCCUCUUCUUGUCUGAUCACCCUGGAUCCUCUCGUUGUGACCAGAGUGCUGAGAGAGCAUUGUUAGUCUUCCACUCGGCGGAAAGCUUUCAUGACUACUUCAUGGCUAAACACAGGUUAAAGAAGUUUUCUGUACCAGUUGGCUGGAUGUUUGUCAGAAGAGAAUAUUGAGGUUGGUUAAACAGGGUAUCCCUGCCCCCCCAACUGAAAUGUCCACGAGGGCCUUCAUGUUUGCCAUGUUACAGUGGGUCAUGCUGAUUGCUUUUUUUAAGAUGUUGAACUAGACCAAGGUAGUAUGUGGAAAACCCUUCUCGUCAGGUAGUGUUGCUGCUUUCAUACAUUAAUGAACGCGACUGGCUGGUGUUUUGCUGAGGGUUUUUUCAUGGGUUCUCAUCAGGGAUGUGAACCUGUCUUUUGUGGUGCUGUGGCUGAAACCCAGAGCCUUGGACCCAAUCAGCCGGCUCUCCUUCCUCCCCCUGUAUUCUGUAUUACUAAGUAUGAGUUGAUGCCGUUAGUUUUGAGUCACCUCUAAAUAAUUCAACAAAUACCUCUUUAAAACCAAGCAGACCAAUUGUCAUUGCCAGGUGCUUGCAGAAAUGAAAGGAAAAUUGAAACUAUAUUCUCUACCCUCUGGGUUUGCAGUUAAAAUGAGAAGCAGGCAUAGGCACAGACGUGCAUGCAGGUGUGCGAAGACACGGAGUAAAUGUGCGCAAAGACUUAAGUGUGCUUUGGAGCUGGGUGGCAGGAAAAACAAAUCUUAAUCCUGCCUGUGGGGGGUCUGAGAAGGUCGUGUUUGCUUCUCUGAGAAUGGAAAUCAUAGUGGAGGACACUGAAGGCACAGUAAAUGUUUUCAACAGUGGCGGAAAACAUCAGGCUGUGCACACACACAAACAGUGACAACAUCAGUGCAGUGACAGCUCACAGCCCAGGGAGGAGGGCUGGAGCGCCAUGGCAUUUCUUGGGGCUGGAGAGAAAGUUCAGCAGUGCACACGGAGAACCAUCAUGGUCAGACACCCUGAAGAUGCUUUUCGUUAAUACUGCAGAAGGUGUCUGAUCCGUGACAUGCUCUCUAGCGAAGGUGUGGGAGCUACUGUGACAGCUUUAAACCAGUACCAUUUUUUUUCCUUUUAUUGACAAUAGAUUUUUUUCCAUACAAUAUACUCUACCUAUGAUCUUGUUUCCCCUACACCUUCUGUUUCUUCCCCACCUCCCUUCCCAUCUGUAUCCACAAACUGGUAUCCAAGGAAUAAUAAUAAAAUACG